RNAcentral lists this ribosomal RNA (253 nucleotides) under uncultured bacterium. RNAcentral's name for it is "partial 16S ribosomal RNA". It matches the Rfam family "Bacterial small subunit ribosomal RNA", at positions 524 to 776 of the family's 1533-position model. The record is from RNAcentral.
UACGUAGGGAGCAAGCGUUGUCCGGAAUCAUUGGGCGUAAAGCGCGCGUAGGCGGCCCGAUAAGUCCGCUGUAAAAGUCAACGGCUCAACUGUUGAAAGCCGGUGGAUACUGUCGGGCUAGAGUACGGAAGAGGAAAGCGGAAUUCCUGGUGUAGCGGUGAAAUGCGUAGAUAUCAGGAGGAACACCUGCGGUGUAGACGGCUUUCUGGACCAUAACUGACGCUGAGAUACGAAAGCGUGGGUAGCAAACAGG